AGGGAGCUUGCUCCCGGAUGUUAGCGGCGGACGGGUGAGUAACACGUGGGUAACCUGCCUGUAAGACUGGGAUAACUCCGGGAAACCGGAGCUAAUACCGGAUAGUUCCUUGAACCGCAUGGUUCAAGGAUGAAAGACGGUUUCGGCUGUCACUUACAGAUGGACCCGCGGCGCAUUAGCUAGUUGGUGAGGUAACGGCUCACCAAGGCGACGAUGCGUAGCCGACCUGAGAGGGUGAUCGGCCACACUGGGACUGAGACACGGCCCAGACUCCUACGGGAGGCAGCAGUAGGGAAUCUUCCGCAAUGGACGAAAGUCUGACGGAGCAACGCCGCGUGAGUGAUGAAGGUUUUCGGAUCGUAAAGCUCUGUUGUUAGGGAAGAACAAGUGCAAGAGUAACUGCUUGCACCUUGACGGUACCUAACCAGAAAGCCACGGCUAACUACGUGCCAGCAGCCGCGGUAAUACGUAGGUGGCAAGCGUUGUCCGGAAUUAUUGGGCGUAAAGGGCUCGCAGGCGGUUUCUUAAGUCUGAUGUGAAAGCCCCCGGCUCAACCGGGGAGGGU
RNAcentral lists this ribosomal RNA (565 nucleotides) under Bacillus sp. (in: firmicutes). RNAcentral describes it as "bacterial SSU rRNA". It matches the Rfam family "Bacterial small subunit ribosomal RNA", at positions 73 to 623 of the family's 1533-position model. Lineage: Bacteria; Bacillati; Bacillota; Bacilli; Caryophanales; Bacillaceae. The record is from RNAcentral.